GCGGGUGUAGCUCAGUUGGUAGAGCGACAGCCUUCCAAGCUGUAGGUCGCGGGUUCGAGCCUCGUCACCCGCUCGA
RNAcentral lists this transfer RNA (76 nucleotides) under Flammeovirga pacifica. RNAcentral's name for it is "tRNA-Gly". It matches the Rfam family "tRNA". Rfam says of the family: Transfer RNA (tRNA) molecules are approximately 80 nucleotides in length. Their secondary structure includes four short double-helical elements and three loops (D, anti-codon, and T loops). Further hydrogen bonds mediate the characteristic L-shaped molecular structure. tRNAs have two regions of fundamental functional importance: the anti-codon, which is responsible for specific mRNA codon recognition, and the 3' end, to which the tRNAs corresponding amino acid is attached (by aminoacyl-tRNA synthetases). tRNAs cope with the degeneracy of the genetic code in two manners: having more than one tRNA (with a specific anti-codon) for a particular amino acid; and 'wobble' base-pairing, i.e. permitting non-standard base-pairing at the 3rd anti-codon position. RNAcentral also lists the same sequence under 2 other names. The record is from RNAcentral. Lineage: Bacteria; Pseudomonadati; Bacteroidota; Cytophagia; Cytophagales; Flammeovirgaceae.